Gasterosteus aculeatus aculeatus (three-spined stickleback) is the source of this 771-nucleotide long non-coding RNA. NCBI's taxonomy places the organism in Eukaryota, Metazoa, Chordata, Actinopteri, Perciformes, Gasterosteidae. The record is from Ensembl.
UUUUGCUGCUGCAGAUAUCUGAGAAUGUCUAUGAGGAGGACGUCCUCCAACAGCAGCUUCUCCUCCUUCGCCGUGGUUUGGAUGGGUUCUCUGCACAUGUGGUUUGAUGGACAGGAGUCCUGAUGUGAUGGACAUGUGAUGGUCCAUAGGCGUAACCACGCAUUCUUUGGGGGGGGUCGUGUCCCCCCCAAUAUUGAAAAGGCGUCACAGAGAGACGGGGAAAGAGACAGGCAAGAUGAAAGCAGUGGCCACACAGGGACAAGCUCUGGACAUGCAGAUGAUCAGGGGCAGCAAUGGAAAUGAAACUGUGAUCCACUCCCACUAUUUAGCCUCCAUUGUAGCCUCCACCCUGUACCUGUUAGCUACAUCAUGUAGUGUCCUACCAAGAGGACCGUCUCUGUGUUCCUGCUUAGCCAUUGAGUCCCUCUAUAAGACAAAGAUGGUCAGACACAAAGCAUUCGCUUUGAUUACCUCUUUGCCUCCACACUUGCUCCUUAAUGCUACGCCUCUUUCUAUGUGCUGUGUGUGGGCACCUGUUUGGGCAUCUACAUGCCACCUUGCAUGAUUCAGUCAUAUGAUUGUAGCCAAGUGCAUGCAGGGAACGAUAAGCACGCCAUUCAUCACUAAUGAUGUUUGAUCCUAUCCUGACAUGAUGUGCAUUCAGUGGCACAAGGUCCUCUUCUUUCUACAAGGCGCAGCACCGGCUUCGCUCUCUUGCUCCUCUGCUGCUGCACACCAAGCACGCCGAAGACCCAUUUCCAUCUUCUCCAU